UCCAAAGCCUCAGUAGUAGACAUCCCUGGA
This 30-nucleotide non-coding RNA is filed under the name Mus musculus (house mouse). The record is from RNAcentral. Lineage: Eukaryota; Metazoa; Chordata; Mammalia; Rodentia; Muridae.